GACGAACGCUGGCGGCGUGCCUAACACAUGCAAGUCGAACGGAGUCGGCCCCGCAAGGGACUGACUUAGUGGCGAACGGGUGAGUAACACGUGAGCAACCUGCCCCAGACUCUGGGAUAACAGUUGGAAACAGCUGCUAAUACCGGAUACGAGACGGAGAGGCAUCUCUACCGUCUGGAAAGUUUUUCGGUCUGGGAUGGACUCGCGGCCUAUCAGCUAGUUGGUGAGGUAAUGGCUCACCAAGGCGACGACGGGUAGCCGGCCUGAGAGGGCGACCGGCCACACUGGGACUGAGACACGGCCCAGACUCCUACGGGAGGCAGCAGUGGGGAAUAUUGCACAAUGGGCGAAAGCCUGAUGCAGCGACGCCGCGUGAGGGAUGACGGCCUUCGGGUUGUAAACCUCUUUCAGCAGGGAAGAAGCGAAAGUGACGGUACCUGCAGAAGAAGCACCGGCUAACUACGUG
RNAcentral lists this ribosomal RNA (466 nucleotides) under uncultured bacterium. Its description in RNAcentral is "bacterial SSU rRNA". It matches the Rfam family "Bacterial small subunit ribosomal RNA", at positions 28 to 507 of the family's 1533-position model. The record is from RNAcentral.